Molecule: ribosomal RNA, 432 nt
Filed under: uncultured bacterium
Lineage: Bacteria
Description: bacterial SSU rRNA
Rfam family: Bacterial small subunit ribosomal RNA
Source: RNAcentral
GAACGCGAAGAACCUUACCUGGGCUUGACAUACACCGGAUCGCUGCAGAGAUGUAGUUUCCCUUUGUGGCUGGUGUACAGGUGGUGCAUGGUUGUCGUCAGCUCGUGUCGUGAGAUGUUGGGUUAAGUCCCGCAACGAGCGCAACCCUUGUCUUAUGUUGCCAGCAUUUGGUUGGGGACUCAUGAGAGACUGCCGGGGUUAACUCGGAGGAAGGUGGGGAUGACGUCAAAUCAUCAUGCCCUUAUGUCAGGGCUUCACACAUGCUACAAUGGUCGGUACAGCGCGUGUGCGAUACUGUGAGGUGGAGCUAAUCGCUGAAAGCCGGUCGUAGUUCGGAUUGGGGUCUGCAACUCGACCCCAUGAAGUCGGAGUCGCUAGUAAUCGCAGAUCAGCAACGCUGCGGUGAAUACGUUCCCGGGUCUUGUACACACC